Molecule: unclassified non-coding RNA, 200 nt
Filed under: Leuconeurospora sp.
Lineage: Eukaryota; Fungi; Ascomycota; Leotiomycetes; Thelebolales; Pseudeurotiaceae
Description: partial internal transcribed spacer 2
Source: RNAcentral
UUAAGUUCAGCGGAUAUCCCUACCUGAUCCGAGGUCAACCUGAAAAAAUUGGGGGUUGCUGGCUAGCACGCACCCGGGUCUCCGAAGCGAGAAGAAUUACUACGCUUGAAGCCGAAUGGCGCCGCCACUGAUUUUAAGGCCCGCCAGGUGCUGGCGGGGCCCAAUACCAAGCAGAGCUUGAGGGUUGUAAUGACGCUCGA